UCUGGCUUCGCGGCCGGCUGAAUAUUUUUUUCACCCAUGUCUUUUGCGCACUUGUUGUUUCCUGGGCGGGUUCGCCCGCCACCAGGACCAAACCAUAAACCUUUUUUUUUAUGCAGUUGCAAUCAGCGUCAGUAAAAACAAUGUAAUUAAUUACAACUUUCAACAACGGAUCUCUUGGUUCUGGCAUCGAUGAAGAACGCAGCGAAAUGCGAUACGUAGUGUGAAUUGCAGAAUUCAGUGAAUCAUCGAAUCUUUGAACGCACAUUGCGCCCUUUGGUAUUCCAAAGGGCAUGCCUGUUCGAGCGUCAUUUGUACCUUCAAGCUUUGCUUGGUGUUGGGCGUUUUUGUCUCCCUCUUUCUGGGAGACUCGCCUUAAAACGAUUGGCAGCCGGCCUACUGGUUUCGGAGCGCAGCACAUAAUUUGCGCUUUGUAUCAGGAGAAAAGGACGGUAAUCCAUCAAGACUCUACAUUUUUAACUUUUGACCUCGGAUCAGGUAGGGAUACCCGCUGAACUUAAGCAUAUCAAUAA
Molecule: ribosomal RNA, 530 nt
Filed under: Bipolaris sorokiniana
Lineage: Eukaryota; Fungi; Ascomycota; Dothideomycetes; Pleosporales; Pleosporaceae
Description: eukaryotic LSU rRNA
Rfam family: 5.8S ribosomal RNA (bases 155-308)
Source: RNAcentral